AGUCCUGUGGCGCAGUGGUAGCGCGCCGUUCUUAUAUAAGCUGUCAUGUGACAUCAACUUAUAUGAUCAUAUCCUUGUGAUGCGGAUGCCGUGGGUUCGAUCCCCACCAGGACUA
RNAcentral lists this transfer RNA (115 nucleotides) under Ampelomyces quisqualis. It matches the Rfam family "tRNA". Rfam says of the family: Transfer RNA (tRNA) molecules are approximately 80 nucleotides in length. Their secondary structure includes four short double-helical elements and three loops (D, anti-codon, and T loops). Lineage: Eukaryota; Fungi; Ascomycota; Dothideomycetes; Pleosporales; Phaeosphaeriaceae. The record is from Rfam by way of RNAcentral.